AACGAACGCUGGCGGCAUGCCUAACACAUGCAAGUCGAACGAGACCUUCGGGUCUAGUGGCGCACGGGUGCGUAACGCGUGGGAACCUGCCCUUAGGUUCGGAAUAACUCCCCGAAAGGGGUGCUAAUACCGGAUAAUGUCUUCGGACCAAAGAUUUAUCGCCUUUGGAUGGGCCCGCGUUGGAUUAGCUAGUUGGUAGGGUAAAAGCCUACCAAGGCGACGAUCCAUAGCUGGUCUGAGAGGAUGAUCAGCCACACUGGGACUGAGACACGGCCCAGACUCCUACGGGAGGCAGGAGUGGGGGAUGUUGGACAAUGGGCGAAAGCCUGAUCCAGCAAUGCCGCGUGAGUGAUGAAGGCCUUAGGGUUGUAAAGCUCUUUUACCCGGGACGAUAAUGACAGUACCGGGAGAAUAAGCUCCGGCUAACUCCGUG
RNAcentral lists this ribosomal RNA (433 nucleotides) under uncultured bacterium. RNAcentral's name for it is "partial 16S ribosomal RNA". It matches the Rfam family "Bacterial small subunit ribosomal RNA", at positions 29 to 507 of the family's 1533-position model. The record is from RNAcentral.